CUGCAGGGACACAACGAGCAGCAAUGCUAUAAGCAGGAUUGCUGUGUAAGGUUUGAACCAGCUCAGGGGAGAUGUCUGAGCAGGCUGAGAGAAACCUGGGUGAACGUGGGAUUCUGGGGGCAGACAGCGACUAGUCUGUUUCCUGCCAUAAGUUAUGCCAGCCCAAAACCUGCUGUAACUCGUCCCCAGUGAUCACUCAGAUAGUCAAGAACAUCCAAAGUGCAAAGGUUCCCCAGUCUUGAGGUUGUCUGGACAGCGUUGGUGUAGAACUGCUGCACUGCCUAGGAAUUGUCUUCAUGAGCAGACCCAGCAACUGAAUCCUGAGCUCCUGAGUCCCAAUCCAGUGCUUUGACCACAAGACUAUUCUUCUUAUCAGAUGUCGUGUAGAGCUGAGGAAAGUGAGACCAUGGACGAGCCUGUUGUGUCGGAUUCCUGUUUAAUGAUUGUGGGGUCCAGGGUUGUAUCUCUGGCCCUAUUUGGUGGCAUUCAUCACAUCCUGGUGUCUUUGUGUUGUCACUAUGAGCAAUAGCUACUCACCAGAGCUCAUGCUGCUUCUUUCCUGACUUGGUAAGCCUCUAUGGUGCUGGGUUUUGUGUGCACAUUGUAUGAACCACUGUCAGCUAUAUCCCUGAUGGUUUUGGACUCAGGGAGAUCAUCCACUGAAGUA
Molecule: long non-coding RNA, 667 nt
Organism: Malaclemys terrapin pileata
Lineage: Eukaryota; Metazoa; Chordata; Testudines; Emydidae
Exons: 4
Source: RefSeq, a predicted model, not a curated record